RNAcentral lists this ribosomal RNA (253 nucleotides) under uncultured bacterium. RNAcentral's name for it is "partial 16S ribosomal RNA". It matches the Rfam family "Bacterial small subunit ribosomal RNA", at positions 524 to 776 of the family's 1533-position model. The record is from RNAcentral.
UACGAAGGGGGCUAGCGUUGCUCGGAAUCACUGGGCGUAAAGCGCACGUAGGCGGAUUGUUAAGUCAGGGGUGAAAUCCUGGAGCUCAACUCCAGAACUGCCUUUGAUACUGGCGAUCUUGAGUCCGGGAGAGGUGAGUGGAACUGCGAGUGUAGAGGUGAAAUUCGUAGAUAUUCGCAAGAACACCAGUGGCGAAGGCGGCGAUCUGGGAAGAUACUGACGCUGAGGUGCGAAAGCGUGGGGAGCAAACAGG